RNAcentral lists this ribosomal RNA (2540 nucleotides) under human gut metagenome. Its description in RNAcentral is "bacterial LSU rRNA". It matches the Rfam family "Bacterial large subunit ribosomal RNA", at positions 3 to 2539 of the family's 2925-position model. The record is from RNAcentral.
UCAAGCUACAAAGGGCUUACGGAGGAUGCCUUGGUACAUGGCGCCGAAGAAGGACGUGACAAGCUGCGAAAAGUUGCGGAGAGGAGCAAAUAUCCAAAGACCCGCAAAUAUCCGAAUGAGGGAACUCCGUACGAGUAACAUCGUGCGAUCCCGUACCGAACAAAAUAGGUACGAGGAGGGGAACUCGGGGAACUGAAACAUCUAAGUACCCGAAGGAAAAGAAAACAACAGUGAUUCCGAAAGUAGUGGCGAGCGAAAUCGGAGGAGCCCAAACCGAAGAUAGAAAUAUUUUAGGGGUAAGGAGCCGCGAGAAGUCAAGAAAGAAUCUAACCGAACUAUCUGGAAAGGUAGAUCAGAGAGGGUGAAAAUCCCGUAGGUGAAAGAGGGAAUAAGGCGAGCGGAAAUCCGGAGUACGUCGGGACACGAGAAAUCCUGACGGAAGAAACGGGGACCAUCCCGUAAGGCUAAAUACGACCAUGUGACCGAUAGCGAAAAGUACCGUGAGGGAAAGGUGAAAAGAACCCCGGGAGGGGAGUGAAAAAGAACCUGAAACCGUAAGUUUACAAGCAGACGGAGCGCGUUAAGGGCGCGACGUCGUACUUUUUGUAGAACGGGCCGGCGAGUUACGAUGUGAUGCGAGGUUAAGCGAUGAAGUCGCGAAGCCGAAGCGAAAGCGAAUCUGAAGAGGGUGAGAAGUAUCAUGUCGUAGACCCGAAACCGAAUGACCUAACCAUGAGCAGGUUGAAGCAAUGGUAAAACGUUGUGGAGGACCGAACACACGCCUGUUGAAAUAGUCGGUGAUGACUUGUGGUUAGCGGAGAAAUUCCAAACGAAUUCGGAUAUAGCUGGUUCUCCUCGAAAUAGCUUUAGGGCUAGCCUCGCAUAUGAACCUUGAAGGUAGAGCACUGAAUGACCUAGGGGGCUUCACAGCCUACCGAAGUUUAUCAAACUCCGAAUGUCAAGGUGGAAGAGUGCGGGAGUCAGACAGCGACAGCUAAGUGCCGUUGUCAAAAGGGAAACAGCCCAGAUCUACAGCUAAGGUCCCCAAGUACAGGUUAAGUGGAAAAGGAUGUGACGAUGCAAAGACAACCAGGAUGUUGGCUCAGAAGCAGCCACUCAUUAAAAGAGUGCGUAAUAGCUCACUGGUCGAGUGACUCUGCGCCGAAAAUUUAACGGGGCUAAAUCGUACACCGAAGCUUGGGAAUAUCAGUUAUUCUUCAUGGACUUGCAAGGAAAGAGACCAUGGCACGAAGUGCCAUCAAAUUGUCCAUAAGGAUAAAGCGAGCUUGUGAAGAAUAACUGAUGUUGGUAGGAGAGCGUUGAAUGCGGGGUGAAGUCAGAGCGAAAGCGCUGGUGGACUGCAUUGAAGUGAGAAUGCCGGAAUGAGUAGCGAGAUUUAUGUGAGAAUCAUAAAGGCCGAAAGACUAAGGUUUCAGAAGGAAGGUUCGUCCGCUUCUGGUUAGCCGGGAGCUAAGGUGAGGCCGAAAGGCGUAGCCGAUGCACAUACGGUGGAGAUUCCGUAGCCGUCGAAAUAUUUAAGCAAAGGGACACUUAUGAAGGACAUGACCCGGGCGAUGGUAGCCCCGGGCGUAAGGGACCGAAAACAAGUAGGGAAGCAUGUUUGGAUUAAGGCGAGAAAAGCUUUGUGUAUAUAUUAGACGUCCGUACCGCAAACCGACACAGGUAGUCAGGAAGAGGAUUCUAAGGCCAACGGGAGAAGGGUAGUUAAGGAACUCGGCAAAUUGACCCCGUAACUUCGGAAUAAGGGGUGCUCACGAGAGUGAGCCGCAGUGAAUAGGUCCAGGCGACUGUUUAUCAAAAACACAGCUCUCUGCUAAAUCGAAAGAUGACGUAUAGGGGGUGACACCUGCCCGGUGCUGGAAGGUUAAGAGGAAGGGUGCAAGCUCUGAAUUGAAGCCCCAGUAAACGGCGGCCGUAACUAUAACGGUCCUAAGGUAGCGAAAUUCCUUGUCGGGUAAGUUCCGACCCGCACGAAUGGCGUAACGACUUGGGCACUGUCUCAACAUGGGACCCGGCGAAAUUGUAGUAUGUGUGAAGAUGCACAUUACCCGCGAUAGGACGGAAAGACCCCGUAGAGCUUUACUGUAGUUUAACAUUGGAUUUCGGUAACAUAUGUACAGGAUAGGUGGGAGGCGAAGAACCAGGGACGCCAGUUUCUGGGGAGCCGACCUUGGGAUACCACUCUUGUGUUAUUGGAGUUCUAACGAAUUGCCGUGAACCGGGAUUCGGACAGUGUUAGAUGGGCAGUUUGACUGGGGCGGUCGCCUCCCAAAGAGUAACGGAGGCGUCCAAAGGUUCCCUCAGAAUGGUUGGAAACCAUUCGCAGAGUGUAAAGGCAGAAGGGAGCUUGACUGCGAGACCGACAGGUCGAGCAGGUGCGAAAGCAGGGCUUAGUGAUCCGGCGGUAUGAGAGUGGAAUUGCCGUCGCUCAACGGAUAAAAGCUACCUCGGGGAUAACAGGCUUAUCUCCCCCAAGAGUCCACAUCGACGGGGAGGUUUGGCACCUCGAUGUCGGCUCA